CAGGGGGUAUAUCAAUAUUAGGUAGAUUAUCCGCUUUGGGCACGGUUGGUUGUGGGUUCAAGCCCAUCUCCCUGA
This 75-nucleotide transfer RNA is filed under the name Suberites domuncula. RNAcentral describes it as "transfer RNA-Pro (ugg)". Lineage: Eukaryota; Metazoa; Porifera; Demospongiae; Suberitida; Suberitidae. The record is from RNAcentral.